This 259-nucleotide unclassified non-coding RNA is filed under the name Hevea brasiliensis (rubber tree). Lineage: Eukaryota; Viridiplantae; Streptophyta; Magnoliopsida; Malpighiales; Euphorbiaceae. The record is from RNAcentral.
CAAAAACGAAAGCUUUCUUUAUUCUCUCUUCUUUCAACUUGAAUCUAACAUUCUCAUCCCUAUCUAAUCCUUCUCCUGAUCUCCUCCAAGAAAUCUGUGUGCGCGUCUCUCUCUCUAAGCCUAGCGAAGAUGAUGCAUAUGACCUUAUACUGGGGCAUCGAGGUAACGCUCUUGUUUGAUUCUUGGAAAACCGAUUCAUGGCUGAGUUACUUCCUCUCCUUGCUCGCCUGCUUCCUCUUCUCCUCCUUCUACCAAUACA